AUUGAACGCUGGCGGCAUGCCUUACACAUGCAAGUCGAACGGCAGCACGGGAGCAAUCCUGGUGGCGAGUGGCGAACGGGUGAGUAAUAUAUCGGAACGUGCCCAGUCGUGGGGGGAUAACGUAGCGAAAGCUACGCUAAUACCGCAUACGAUCUACGGAUGAAANCGGGGGAUCGCAAGACCUCGCGCGAUUGGAGCGGCCGAUAUCAGAUUAGGUAGUUGGUGAGGUAAAGGCUCACCAAGCCGACGAUCUGUAGCUGGUCUGAGAGGACGACCAGCCACACUGGGACUGAGACACGGCCCAGACUCCUACGGGAGGCAGCAGUGAGGAAUUUUGGACAAUGGACGCAAGUCUGAUCCAGCCAUUCCGCGUGCAGGAUGAAGGCCCUCGGGUUGUAAACUGCUUUGUACGGAACGAAAAGGUUUCUAUUAAUACUAGGAGCUCAUGACGGUACCGUAAGAAUAAGCACCGGCUAACUACGUG
This 484-nucleotide ribosomal RNA is filed under the name uncultured bacterium. RNAcentral's name for it is "bacterial SSU rRNA". It matches the Rfam family "Bacterial small subunit ribosomal RNA", at positions 30 to 507 of the family's 1533-position model. The record is from RNAcentral.